This is an RNA transcript of Populus nigra (black poplar), 2735 nucleotides long. It is a transcript of the gene named SNARE-interacting protein KEULE, with no coding region annotated. The transcript has 22 exons. The record is from RefSeq and is a predicted model, not a curated record. Lineage: Eukaryota; Viridiplantae; Streptophyta; Magnoliopsida; Malpighiales; Salicaceae.
ACCCUGCAAUGACAAUAAAGAUUCGCCAAUUUUUCAAUAUUCUUUUUCCCGGUCACCAUUUCUGCUUCCUUUUGACCUCCCUACCUUUUUCUUUCUCUCCCUACUUAGCUUACUAGAAAACGAUCUCUGCAACUGUCGUUUCUGGAUCCGCCGAUCGGGAGAAAACUAGAGAGAUAGAAUCAGAGGCUCUGAAGGCUUGAAUAAUUGUCGACAUGUCGCUCUCGGAUUCUGACUCGUCGUCCUCUUACGGUAGCGACUACAAGAAUCUCAGGCAAAUCAGCCGUGAACGUUUGUUGUAUGAAAUGCUUCGAUCAGCCAAAACAGGGAAUUCAAAAUCAACUUGGAAGGUGCUUAUCAUGGACAGACUUACUGUGAAGAUCAUGUCAUACUCAUGCAAGAUGGCUGAUAUCACACAGGAAGGAGUUUCAUUGGUAGAAGACAUAUACAGACGAAGGCAGCCAUUGCCCUCCAUGGAUGCUAUAUACUUCAUCCAACCAACAAAGGAGAAUGUUAUAAUGUUCUUGUCAGACAUGUCUGGGAAAUCGCCUUUAUACAAAAAGGCAUUUGUUUUCUUCAGUUCCCCUAUUUCAAGAGAACUGGUUUCUCAUAUCAAGAAAGAUUCAAGUGUAUUAACUCGUAUAGGUGCAUUGAGAGAGAUGAAUUUGGAGUAUUUUGCUAUAGAUAGCCAGGGUUUUAUUACUGAUAAUGAAAGGGCUUUAGAGGAACUUUUUGUGGAUGAGGAGGAUUCUCGCAAAGGUGAUGCAUGUUUGAAUGUGAUGGCUUCUCGCAUUGCUACAGUUUUUGCCUCGCUUCGGGAAUUUCCUUUUGUGCGAUAUCGUGCUGCCAAGUCCCUUGAUGUAACAACAAUGACGACUUUCCGUGAUUUAAUUCCUACAAAACUUGCUGCUAGAAUUUGGGAUUGUCUGAUCCAAUAUAAGCAAAAGACUGAACACUUCCCUCAGACAGAAACAUGUGAACUGCUUAUCCUGGAUAGAUCUAUAGAUCAGAUUGCUCCUAUCAUACAUGAGUGGACAUAUGAUGCCAUGUGUCAUGAUCUAUUGAAUAUGGAGGGAAACAAAUAUGUGCAUGAGGUUCUCAGCAAAGCUGGUGGUCCACCUGAAAAAAAGGAUGUUCUUUUGGAGGAACAUGAUCCUGUCUGGCUUGAGCUUCGGCAUGCACACAUAGCAGAUGCUGGUCAGCGGCUGCACGAGAAGAUGACCAACUUCGUAUCAAAAAAUAAAGCAGCCAAAAUUCAACAUGGUUCAAGAGAUGGUGGUGAACUUUCUACAAGGGACUUGCAACAGAUGGUUCAAGCAUUGCCUCAAUACAGUGAGCAGAUUGACAAGAUCUCCCUCCAUGUGGAGAUUGCUGAAAAAAUUAGUAGAAUUAUCAGGGAGUCGGGGCUUCGAGAGCUUGGGCAACUAGAGCAGGACCUGGUUUUUGGAGAUGCAGGAAUGACAGAUGUUAUCAAAUUUUUGACUACAAAAGAGGAUGCAACUCGUGAAAAUAAGUUGCGGUUGUUGAUGAUUCUUGCAACCAUUUAUCCUGAGAAGUUUGAGGGUGAAGAAGGUCAUAAUAUAAUGAAGGUGGUAAGAUUACCGCAGGAUGACAUGAAUGCUGUGAAUAAUAUGAGAUUGCUUGCGGGGGCAUCAGAGACCAAAAAAAGUUCAACUGGUGCUUUCUCCCUGAAGUUUGAUAUUCAUAAGAAGAAGCGCGCUGCCAGGAAAGACCGCACUGGUGCUGAAGAAACAACAUGGCAGUUGUCUCGCUUUUACCCCAUGAUAGAGGAACUUAUCGAAAAACUUAACAAAGGAGAACUCUCCAAGGAUGAAUAUCCAUGCAUGAAUGACCCAAGCCCAACUUUCCAUGGGACAUCCCAGUCUACACCAAUGCAUCAAGCUCCAGCACCCCAUUCAAUGAGAUCAAGACGGACUCCUACAUGGGCUCGACCACGGAACUCUGAAGAUGGUUAUUCAAGUGAUUCUAUUCUAAGACAUGCAUCUAGUGAUUUCAAAAAGAUGGGCCAGCGUAUUUUUGUAUUCAUCGUAGGUGGAGCUACAAGAUCUGAGCUAAGAGUUUGCCACAAGCUUACAAGCAAGUUACAGAGGGAAGUAAUUUUGGGUUCUUCGAGUCUUGAUGAUCCUCCACAAUUUAUUACGAAGCUGAAACUGCUUACAGCAAAUGAACUUUCACUGGAAGAUCUGCAGAUAUAAAUGUGUUGGGAUUAGAAGCGGAACACAAGGCUUCUCUAGGUUCUGACUAUACGAUUUAUGUGGCGUUUCAGAUGUAGCUGCACCGCACCAGUUGUGAAGGUUGUUGGGGUUCAGCGGCGACUCAUUGGUUCUGCAAUUCAUGGACACCGAGAACAGAGACAUGUUCGGUGAUGGUAAAGACGAAAGGAACCACGCAGCACUGCUUUCAAAUUUUAUGACUGGGAUGAAGAUGAAAAAAUUCUCUUCUUAAAUAGGCCAGUCCAGGGAAGCCGGAACAAGAAGAACGCCACUUACGCGGGUUAGAAGCAAUCAAGGUGCGUUUUCUUUUUGGGUUCAUAUGAGAAGAUCCAUGGAGUUAGCAUACGGCUAAUCUUUCAGUAGGAAAAGCCUCGACCAUGAUUACUCUAAAAUCCCUUUGGCAUUGUUUGAGGAUACGAGCACAUGUGCCAUAAUUAGAAAAGUUUUGUAGAGCAGUUUGCUGUGCAGCCAUUUACGUAACAUGGAACUCAGUCUCAUGCAUAA